UGCUGUGAUGGUGUAAUUUGCGUCUGACCCUGCGCACAGUGACAGUUGCCUGCUGUCUCCAUGCUGGCGCAGGUGGUUGAUGAACAUUCAGGUCUGAGCA
This is a small nucleolar RNA of Anguilla rostrata (American eel), 100 nucleotides long. RefSeq annotates it as small nucleolar RNA SNORD16. The record is from RefSeq and is a predicted model, not a curated record. The transcript has a single exon. NCBI's taxonomy places the organism in Eukaryota, Metazoa, Chordata, Actinopteri, Anguilliformes, Anguillidae.